Molecule: long non-coding RNA, 313 nt
Filed under: Homo sapiens (human)
Lineage: Eukaryota; Metazoa; Chordata; Mammalia; Primates; Hominidae
Description: non-protein coding lnc-UBR2-3:1
Source: RNAcentral
GUGAGUGUUCCUAAAACUCAGUGGAUUUUCUGUAAGAAGUGUGGCAAGCACCAACCCCACAAAGUGACACAGUACAAGAAGGGCAAGAAUUGUCUAUAUGCCCAGGGAAAACAGCCUUAUGAUGGGAAGCAUAGUGGCUAUGAUGGACAGACUAAGCGGAUUUUCCAAAAAAAGGCUAAAACUACAAAGAAGACAGUGCUAAGGCUUGAGCGCGUUGAGCCCAACUGCAUAUCUAAGAGAAUGCUGGCUAUUAAGAUAUGCGAGCAUUUUGAACUGGGAGGAGAUAAGAAGAAAAGGGGGGCCAAGUGAUAUA